Molecule: ribosomal RNA, 352 nt
Filed under: uncultured eukaryote
Lineage: Eukaryota
Description: partial 18S ribosomal RNA
Rfam family: Eukaryotic small subunit ribosomal RNA
Source: RNAcentral
CCCUUAGAUGUUCUGGGCCGCACGCGCGCUACACUGACAUGUUGAACAAGUUUUUUUCUUUUUUUACGAGGAAAAAGUCCUUAUCCGGAAGGAUUGGGUAAUCUUUUGAAUCCAUGUCGUGAUGGGGCUAGAUUCUUGCAAUUAUUAAUCUCCAACGAGGAAUUCCUAGUAAACGCAAGUCAUCAGCUUGCAUUGAAUACGUCCCUGCCCUUUGUACACACCGCCCGUCGCACCUACCGAUUGAAUGAUCCGGUGAGGUCUUUGGACUGAGGCGACGCAGACGGUUCGCCGCCCGCGACGCCCUGGGAAGCUGCCCAAACCUUAUCAUUUAGAGGAAGGAGAAGUCGUAACA